Molecule: ribosomal RNA, 253 nt
Filed under: uncultured bacterium
Lineage: Bacteria
Description: partial 16S ribosomal RNA
Rfam family: Bacterial small subunit ribosomal RNA
Source: RNAcentral
GACGUAGGGUGCAAGCGUUGUCCGGAAUUAUUGGGCGUAAAGAGCUCGUAGGCGGUCUGUUGCGUCGGCUGUGAAAACCCGGGGCUCAACCCCGGGCCUGCAGCCGAUACGGGCAGACUAGAGUUCGGCAGGGGAGACUGGAAUUCCUGGUGUAGCGGUGAAAUGCGCAGAUAUCAGGAGGAACACCGGUGGCGAAGGCGGGUCUCUGGGCCGAUACUGACGCUGAGGAGCGAAAGCGUGGGGAGCGAACAGG